CCUACGGGAGGCAGCAGUGAGGAAUAUUGGUCAAUGGGCGGGAGCCUGAACCAGCCAAGUCGCGUGAGGGAAGACGGUCCUAUGGAUUGUAAACCUCUUUAGGCGGGGAGCAAUGCCGGGCACGCGUGCCCGGAGGGAGAGUACCCGCAGAAUAAGCAUCGGCUAACUCCGUGCCAGCAGCCGCGGUAAUACGGAGGAUGCGAGCGUUAUCCGGAUUUAGUGGGUUUAAAGGGUGCGUAGGCGGGUUUUUAAGUCAGCGGUAAAAUAUCCGGGCUCAACCCGGGCCGGCCGUUGAGACUGGGGAUCUUGAGUGGGCGAGAGGUAUGCGGAAUGCGUGGUGUAGCGGUGAAAUGCAUAGAUAUCACGCAGAACUCCGAUUGCGAAGGCAGCAUACCGGCGCCCGACUGACGCUGAGGCACGAAAGCGUGGGGAUCGAACAGGAUUAGAUACCCGUGUAGUC
Molecule: ribosomal RNA, 460 nt
Filed under: uncultured bacterium
Lineage: Bacteria
Description: partial 16S ribosomal RNA
Rfam family: Bacterial small subunit ribosomal RNA
Source: RNAcentral